Molecule: long non-coding RNA, 2316 nt
Organism: Bos taurus (domestic cattle)
Lineage: Eukaryota; Metazoa; Chordata; Mammalia; Artiodactyla; Bovidae
Source: Ensembl
GGUAAAACCUUGCACAGAAAAAUAAUGACCAGAUCCUGAAUUACAUAUUUUUCAAAGGAAAGCUAGUUAUUAGAUGAGGAUAAAACCUGGGGUUCUCCCAUUAGGGAAUGGAUUCCGGCCAAGAAAUCCAUGUUAAUAUCAUCCUUGCUCCAUUCGCUUUAAAACUUUUAAGAAUAUUUGGCUUCUGGAUAGCGUCGGAAAACGGAAGGAACAAAUAAUCUCUAUUACUAGAGAGCCGGCUUUUCCUGAGGGAGAGCUAAAUGUGCGCUACACAUGUGAAUCCUUUUAAAGAAAUUGCUCGGGGCUGGGGAAUUUCCAAUCCCAACGUCCCUUAACCCGCCGAUGAGCCGGACACACAUCUGUUCUUUAACUGCGCAGUAUUUCGAAUCUAAACAAGCCCUUCCACAAAGAAGGGCCUGCUCUCGAGGCCGUGAUUUUGGCUUAAGUGAGCCUUUUCGCCGCCGCAUGCAUUUUCUCUUGGGACCGGGAGAGAGCCAUCUCCCGGCAGCAUCCCGCAUCCAGAUCGCCCGCAGCAGCCUGCGCUGCAGUGACACAGUAUGGCCACUAGAUGGCGGGAGGGGACUGAGUUGGGCCACCGGCGGCGGUUCCUUUCUCCCUGCAGGGAGAGGAACACUUUUGUUUCUCUGCUUUUUCUUCCUGCCCCUUUGUUUGACUUCACCAUUUUCUGUGUCGCUUCCUCUCCGCUGUAGUUACAUCGUGGCUGGCUUUUCAGCACCUCCGUCAUAGGAAAGCCGGCCCGGCCCCAUUUCGGGCCUCGUGGACUGGGCGCACAUAGAGCUCUUGGGAUGACCCUGGCUCUCCCACGCCCAGCGCAAGCAUUUGCUCCAGAUACUUGGUGCAAUUCUUUUUCGUUGUUACCCAGUCUCCGGCCAGCUGUCCCUACAUCAGAAUGAGGCUAUGCUUUACCCUGCAUUAACUUGUGGGUAGGGGGUGGGGAGGGGCGGGAGUAGUGCUGUUCAUGCAGGUAUUACCAAAAAAAAAAAAAAAGGCAGCUUCAGACCACUUGAAUCAGAAUGUUAUAAUCUUGUGACCAGGGUUGGAAAAAAGAAAGAUUUUAUUGAAAGAAUGCAGACCAAAUGGACCCCAGACCUGUCAUGUCUCCACACUGCACUGCAAUUGGCCUUUCACCGUAAGGAAACCAGAAAGGAGUUCCGAGGGGGCCAGAAGAAGCCAGCAGCUGUGAUAGCUUUUUUUAAAAAGGACAUUGGAAAGAGCCCAUGAGUUUUAUUUUAUAAAUGACUUAAUCAUCUGAGAAACCAAGUCAAUUGGAACUGCCAGAGCUCCAGGGAGGCAUGGAGUCAGAAAGGACCUCAGCAGAAGGCCUUUAUCAGCACCUCCAUACUUCACUUGGUGAGAGAAUCCUGCCCCGUGACCACACAGUCCCCUGCUUCCAGUCUUCUAAAGCGGGGCCUCCCUGGGCCUCUGCCAGAAAAUUCCUUGUGCAGUCUGAGUGGUGCUUACCUGGGUUUACAUCCCAGUUGUGCUAAGUUUCUAGCUUAGUUUCCUCCUCUAUUAAAUGCUGAUGAUAAUGGCACCUAGCUCAUGGGGUUUUACUUGGAGGAUCACGUGGAAAAAUGAAAGUCAAGGGCUCAGUGCAGUACUUGGCCCAUAUAUAGUGCCCCUAAGUGGUUAUUAACAUUCACUCGGGCCUGUAUUGGCAGCCUGUUUACAUCAGGUGGAGUCGCGGUUUAAGGAAACACCUCAGCGUCAAUGAUGGAAACGUUUCAUAAGGAAAACCCAAGCAGGUGUGAAACGAAAAGUCCUGCCCUUUCCAGCUUGUGCCCCCACAACUCUCACACACACUUGGGGUAAACCAGGUCAGGAGAGGCCGAGUUCCUCGGCUCACCACCUCCUGUCCUUGGUGGCGGCAGUGUGAUUGACAGUUCUAAGGGGAGAGUGCCCAGACUCGGUUGUUUCAGCUGACCUUCCCUGUGAGUUUUCAGGUUGAAGUGAAAUCCAAUGGGCUGUGAACUGAAACUCAAGAAUAUCUUCUGGAAAGUCCCAUGGUGCUGAGCUCAGGUGAGGAGCCCAUAGGAGGGGAGUCACCAAGGUAAAUCAUGGCGAAGAUGUCAGGGAGCUAGACCUGUACAGGCCCUCCCCACUGGUGGAAAUCAACACAACCCAUCACCAUGAGCCCUUGAAGCAUUGUUUGGAUCGGAGGCAAUAGGAGGAGACUAGAGGAGGGCUCCUUAACUAUUUGGGAUUCACCAUGAAGAAUUUUUGGCCUUAUUGUUCUGGCAUCUGUAUUGUAGGUUGUCUUCACUUUUAAAUAUUAGGCAGCUCACAGUACUAUAA